AUUGAACGCUGGCGGCAGGCCUAACACAUGCAAGUCGAGCGGAAGAAGACUUCGGUCUUCGAGAGCGGCGGACGGGUGAGUAACGCGUGGGAAUCUGGCUCUUAGGGGGGGACAACUUGUGGAAACACAAGCUAAUACCGCAUACGCCCUAAGGGGGAAAGCAGGGGAUCUUCGGACCUUGCGCUAAGAGAUGAGCCCGCGUCGGAUUAGCUAGUUGGUGGGGUAAAGGCCUACCAAGGCGACGAUCCGUAACUGGUCUGAGAGGAUGAUCAGUCACACUGGAACUGAGACACGGUCCAGACUCCUACGGGAGGCAGCAGUGGGGAAUAUUGGACAAUGGGGGCAACCCUGAUCCAGCCAUGCCGCGUGUGUGAAGAAGGCCUUCGGGUUGUAAAGCACUUUAAGUUGGGAGGAAAGGGUUGUGGCUAAUAUCCAAAAUCUAUGACGUUACCAACAGAAUAAGCACCGGCUAACUCCGUGCCAGCCGCCGCGGUAA
RNAcentral lists this ribosomal RNA (496 nucleotides) under uncultured bacterium. Its description in RNAcentral is "partial 16S ribosomal RNA". It matches the Rfam family "Bacterial small subunit ribosomal RNA", at positions 30 to 523 of the family's 1533-position model. The record is from RNAcentral.